Molecule: long non-coding RNA, 1733 nt
Organism: Homo sapiens (human)
Lineage: Eukaryota; Metazoa; Chordata; Mammalia; Primates; Hominidae
Gene: GLIDR
Product: glioblastoma down-regulated RNA
Source: Ensembl
AUAGUACCCCAUUCCUUGCUGCAAUGUAAUUAUAUUUAAUUACAAGUGUGCCCCUGGUAGUCUUUAACUGAAGGGCACUGACUGGGUCACUGGUGAAGUUCCCCGCAGGAACUGAGUCAGACCCCAUCUCAGGGCCCUGCACAAGAUAGGUGCCUGCUCUAAGGCGUGGACCCUCGCCACAGCCCUGGCCCGUCUUGACGGGCGAGGGUUACUGUACUUGUCCCAACCGUACAGAUGAGAAAGCUGAGACUCAGGGCCAGCAACCCGGGUCCCAGCGGAGCGCCCGGCACACGCCGACACUUCAGCACCAGUGGCGGUGGCCACCACUGUGGGCGGAGAUGGCUGCGACGCGUGCGCAGAUCUCGAUCCCAAACUCCCUCCUGCCAGAAUCUGGACCCGAAUCCACCCAUUGCCCGUUUUCCGCUGCCGCUGGAGAGAAUCUCUGAGGUCCCCAGGAGAGCCUGCCUGCACGGAAGAGACGCCUCCUCGUGUCUUAGAAGUCAUGAAAAUUUCAGAAAAUGACAGGUCUUCUGAGUUCGUGAUGGGAGUUGGGCAGCAGUCGCAUACGAGCACCUGGAGAGUCCUUGCCAGUUCUUUGGGGAUGGGGAGCUCUUAAGACUGCCCUGAGACCGCCCUUUGACCUCAUUGUGGUCCUUUCUAGAUUAAAUGCUGUUUUCCAUGACCGUCUCUGUUCUUCCCAUACGGGAAUGGCAGGCAUUCAGAUCUCCAAGAAUAGAGGAUUAGGAGAGACUCCACCACCUAUGUCCUCACAGUUAAUUAUCGAUUUGUGUCAGUUGCCCAUUUUCUCACUUCCUGUUUGUGUGUCAAGGGGUAUUAAUAAAUCUUUGCCUAUUUAAAGAUAUUAGCCUUGGAUUUUCAAAUAUUGCAUAUUUUGACAUGUAAAAAUUUGUUAGUUUUAUUUUUUCAACCGAUCUGACCUGUAUAGUUGGGCUUGAGGAAGCUUCCUCAUUCUACAUGUUACUAUGGAUUUUCUAAUAUUAACACAGGGUUGUAUUUUUUCCAUAUAACUUUCUAUUGAAUUUCUUUUUCCAUAUGAUAGGUGGUGAAGGUUUAGCCCAGUAAAGCAGAGAGGUUAAGAGGUUAGAUUGGGGGCUCUGGAGCCAGACCUGUGUAGAUCUGAGUCGUGGCUCUGGCACUUGAAAGCCGUGUGACCUUGGUUAAGAUACUUAGUCCCUCUCUGCCAAAUGGAGAAAUAAGGGCACCUACCCCAUAGGGUAGUUGUGUGAUUACACAAGUUAAUACACUUCAAUCAGUAGCAAGAAAGUGAAUGUCAAGCUGUAUUUGUUCAGGCAGCCAUAUGGUAGCCCCACGUCCUUAGUAAACUGAGGUAUUGAAGUAUCUUCUUUUUCUUUCAGAAAAUAUUUGUCAAGCACCUUCUGUGUUCAAAGAACUGUUCUAGAGCUUUGCAUGCUAUGGAGGUCUAGAAAUUCACAUUAUGGUGGCAGGUGACAGACAAUACAAAGAGAUAAAGCAAUUUCAUAUAGUGAUAAGCUAGGGAGGAGUGCUAAAAGGAGCCAAGGUGUAGUGGUGACUGGAAGGUGACCAGGGAAACCACUGUAGGGUUUCUAAGUGAUGAGAUCUGUGACAAAUCCCUGUGGUCAGCAGCAGGCAUUGGAUAUGUAACUUUAUUCUGUCCCAUUGAUCUUGUAGUCAACCCUGGUCUGUUCUGUAUUGUUUUAAUUACAUAAUCUUUGUAAUAAUCUUUAAUACCU